GAUGAAGAACGCAGCGAAAUGCGAUCAGUAAUGUGAAUUGCAGAAUUCAGUGAAUCAUCGAAUCUUUGAACGCACAUUGCGCCCCCUGGUAUUCCGGGGGGCAUGCCUGUUCGAGCGUCAUUUCACCACUCAAGCCUCGCUUGGUAUUGGGCAACGCGGUCCGCCGCGUGCCUCAAAUCGACCGGCUGGGUCUUCUGUCCCCUAAGCGUUGUGGAAACUAUUCGCUAAAGGGUGUUCGGGAGGCUACGCCGUAAAACAACCCCAUUUCUAAGGUUGACCUCGGAUCAGGUAGGGAUACCCGCUGAACUUAAGCAUAUCAAUAAGCGGAGGA
This 331-nucleotide unclassified non-coding RNA is filed under the name soil metagenome. RNAcentral describes it as "partial contains 5.8S ribosomal RNA, internal transcribed spacer 2, and large subunit ribosomal RNA". The stretch from base 1 to 120 matches the Rfam family "5.8S ribosomal RNA", at positions 35 to 154 of the family's 154-position model. The record is from RNAcentral.